AGAGUGAACGCUGGCGGUAGGCCUAACACAUGCAAGUCGAACGGCAGCACAGUGGUAGCAAUACCAUGGGUGGCGAGUGGCGGACGGGUGAGGAAUACAUCGGAAUCUACCUUUUCGUGGGGGAUAACGUAGGGAAACUUACGCUAAUACCGCAUACGCCCUUCGGGGGAAAGCCGGGGAUCGCAAGACCUGGCGCGGAUAGAUGAGCCGAUGUCGGAUUAGCUAGUUGGUGAGGUAAUGGCUCACCAAGGCGACGAUCCGUAGCUGGUCUGAGAGGAUGAUCAGCCACACGUGGAACUGAGACACGGUCCAGACUCCUAGGGAG
RNAcentral lists this ribosomal RNA (325 nucleotides) under uncultured soil bacterium. RNAcentral's name for it is "bacterial SSU rRNA". It matches the Rfam family "Bacterial small subunit ribosomal RNA", at positions 26 to 347 of the family's 1533-position model. The record is from RNAcentral.